RNAcentral lists this ribosomal RNA (506 nucleotides) under uncultured bacterium. RNAcentral's name for it is "partial 16S ribosomal RNA". It matches the Rfam family "Bacterial small subunit ribosomal RNA", at positions 28 to 523 of the family's 1533-position model. The record is from RNAcentral.
GAUGAACGCUAGCUACAGGCUUAACACAUGCAAGUCGAGGGGUAACGAGAGGAAAGCUUGCUUUCCUUGUCGACGACCGGCGCACGGGUGAGUAACGCGUAUCCAACCUGCCCCCAACUAGGGAAUAACCUUGCGAAAGUAAGACUAAUACCCUAUAAUUUCCUCAGAUGUCAUCUGACGAGGAAUAAAGAUUUAUCGGUUGUGGAUGGGGAUGCGGCUGAUUAGCUUGUUGGCGGGGUAACGGCCCACCAAGGCAACGAUCAGUAGGGGUUAUGAGAGGAAGGUACCACACAGUGGAACUGAGACACGGUCCAAACUCCUACGGGAGGCAGCAGUGAGGAAUAUUGGUCAAUGGGCGGAAGCCUGAACCAGCCAAGUAGCGUGCAGGAUGACGGCCCUAUGGAUUGUAAACUGCUUUUAUACAGGAAUAAAGUUAGCCACGUGUGGUUAUUUGUAGGUACUGUAUGAAUAAGGACCGGCUAAUUCCGUGCCAGCCGCCGCCGUAA